UACGGAGGGUGCGAGCGUUGUCCGGAAUCACUGGGCGUAAAGGGCGCGUAGGCGGCGCGGAUAGUCGGCGGUGAAAGCCCGGAGCUCAACUCCGGGUCGGCCGUCGAUACUUCCGGGCUUGAGCACUGUAGAGGCAGAUGGAAUUCCGGGUGUAGCGGUGGAAUGCGUAGAGAUCCGGAAGAACACCGGUGGCGAAGGCGGUCUGCUGGGCAGUUGCUGACGCUGAUGCGCGACAGCGUGGGGAGCAAAGAGG
This 253-nucleotide ribosomal RNA is filed under the name uncultured bacterium. Its description in RNAcentral is "partial 16S ribosomal RNA". It matches the Rfam family "Bacterial small subunit ribosomal RNA", at positions 524 to 776 of the family's 1533-position model. The record is from RNAcentral.